UACGUAGGGUGCAAGCGUUAAUCGGAAUUACUGGGCGUAAAGCGUGCGCAGGCGGUGAUGUAAGACAGAUGUGAAAUCCCCGGGCUCAACCUGGGAACUGCAUUUGUGACUGCAUCGCUGGAGUGCGGCAGAGGGGGGUAGAAUUCCACGUGUAGCAGUGAAAUGCGUAGAGAUGUGGAGGAAUACCGAUGGCGAAGGCAGCCCCCUGGGAUAACACUGACGCUCAUGCACGAAAGCGUGGGGAGCAAACAGG
Molecule: ribosomal RNA, 253 nt
Filed under: uncultured bacterium
Lineage: Bacteria
Description: partial 16S ribosomal RNA
Rfam family: Bacterial small subunit ribosomal RNA
Source: RNAcentral